UACUUUUAUUCAUGGACAACUGAGUAAAUGUGAAAAUAAUAUGCAUGUUCAUUCAAUUUAUUGAUGAUCUAUGUAUUUAUGUUGGGGAGUAAUGUGAUAGCAAAUAGUAAUAGAAGAUAAGAAAUAAGACAAAAUCAUAUUCAUACAGUUUACAGCAUUCUCAUAUAUUUCAAUAACCAUUCUUUCAGUAUACUUUCUUUUGUAUGCAAAAUGUUUUCAUUGUGCAUCUAAAUGUCCCAGCAGCCUCUGCCAUUACAAGCUCUCCUUUAAAUCAGUCUCAAACAUCAGAUCUUACAACAGCCUCUGCCACUGCAAGCUCUCCUUCACCUCAGUCUCAAACAUCAGAUACUACAAAUUCAUCAUCACUCCCUUUCACUUCAAGUAUUUCUUCAGAUGAUUCUCGCACAUCUCCCCAAACACCUCAUACAA
Molecule: long non-coding RNA, 429 nt
Organism: Carassius gibelio (silver crucian carp)
Lineage: Eukaryota; Metazoa; Chordata; Actinopteri; Cypriniformes; Cyprinidae
Exons: 3
Source: RefSeq, a predicted model, not a curated record